UGAGGAAUUUUGCGCAAUGGGGGAAACCCUGACGCAGCAACGCCGCGUGAGUGAUGAAGGCUUUCGGGUCGUAAAGCUCUGUCAGGCGGGAAGAAGGUGUUCCGUGUAAAUAGCACGGGAUAUUGACGGUACCGCCGAAGGAAGCACCGGCUAACUCCGUGCCAGCAGCCGCGGUAAUACGGAGGGUGCAAGCGUUAUUCGGAUUUAUUGGGCGUAAAGGGCGCGCAGGCGGCUUGUUAAGUCAGAUGUGAAAGCCCCCGGCUUAACCGGGGAAGUGCAUUUGAAACUGACAAGCUUGAGUAUGGGAGAGGAAAUCGGAAUUCCUGGUGUAGCGGUGAAAUGCGUAGAUAUCAGGAGGAACACCGGUGGCGAAAGCGGAUUUCCGGACCAAUACUGACGCUGAGGCGCGAAGGUGCGGGGAGCAAACA
This 428-nucleotide ribosomal RNA is filed under the name uncultured prokaryote. RNAcentral's name for it is "bacterial SSU rRNA". It matches the Rfam family "Bacterial small subunit ribosomal RNA", at positions 355 to 774 of the family's 1533-position model. The record is from RNAcentral.